RNAcentral lists this ribosomal RNA (465 nucleotides) under uncultured bacterium. RNAcentral's name for it is "partial 16S ribosomal RNA". It matches the Rfam family "Bacterial small subunit ribosomal RNA", at positions 339 to 795 of the family's 1533-position model. The record is from RNAcentral.
CUACGGGGCGCUGCAGUGAGGAAUUUUGCGCAAUGGGGGGAACCCUGACGCAGCAACGCCGCGUGAGUGAUGAAGGCUUUCGGGUCGUAAAGCUCUGUCAAGUGGGAAGAACCUAUGCAGUGUUAAUAUCACUGUAUACUGACGGUACCACUGAAGGAAGCACCGGCUAACUCCGUGCCAGCAGCCGCGGGAAUACGGGGGGUGCAAGCGUUAUUCGGAAUCAUUGGGCGUAAAGGGCACGUAGGCGGCUUGGUAAGUCAGAUGUGAAAGCCGGGGGCUUAACCCCGGAAGUGCAUUUGAUACUGUCAGGCUUGAGUAUGGGAGAGGGAAGUGGAAUUCCUGGUGUAGAGGUGAAAUUCGUAGAUAUCAGGAGGAACACCGGUGGCGAAGGCGACUUCCUGGACCAAUACUGACGCUGAGGUGCGAAGGCGUGGGUAGCAAACAGGAUUAGAUACCCCCGUAGUC